AGAGUUUGAUCAUGGCUCAGAUUGAACGCUGGCGGCAGGCUUAACACAUGCAAGUCGAACGGUAACAGGGAGAAGCUUGCUUCUUUGCUGACGAGUGGCGGACGGGUGAGUAAUGCUUGGGAAUCUGGCUUAUGGAGGAGGAUAACUACGGGAAACUGUAGCUAAUACCGCGUAAUAUCUUCGGAUUAAAGGGUGGGACUUUCGGGCCACCUGCCAUAAGAUGAGCCCAAGUGGGAUUAGGUAGUUGGUGGGGUAAAGGCCUACCAAGCCGACGAUCUCUAGCUGGUCUGAGAGGAUGGCCAGCCACACUGGAACUGAGACACGGCCCAGACUCCUACGGGAGGCAGCAGCGGGGAAUAUUGCACAAUGGGGGGAACCCUGAUGCAGCCAUGCCGCGUGAAUGAAGAAGGCCUUCGGGUUGUAAAGUUCUUUCGGUGAUGAGGAAGGUGUUUGUUUUAAUAGAACAAGCGAUUGACGUUAGUCACAGAAGAAGCACCGGCUAACUCCGUGCCAGCAGCCGCGGUAAUACGGAGGGUGCGAGCGUUAAUCGGAAUGACCGGGCGUAAAGGGCACGCAGGCGGUGACUUAAGUGAGAUGUGAAAGCCCCGGGCUUAACCUGGGAAUUGCAUUUCAUACUGGGUCGCUAGAGUAUUUUAGGGAGGGGUAGAAUUCCACGUGUAGCGGUGAAAUGCGUAGAGAUGUGGAGGAAUACCGAAGGCGAAGGCAGCCCCUUGGGAAUAUACUGACGCUCAUGUGCGAAAGCGUGGGGAGCAAACAGGAUUAGAUACCCUGGUAGUCCACGCUGUAAACGCUGUCGAUUUGGGGAUUGGGCUUAGAGCUUGGUGCCCGUAGCUAACGUGAUAAA
RNAcentral lists this ribosomal RNA (865 nucleotides) under uncultured bacterium. RNAcentral's name for it is "bacterial SSU rRNA". It matches the Rfam family "Bacterial small subunit ribosomal RNA", at positions 8 to 864 of the family's 1533-position model. The record is from RNAcentral.